Molecule: long non-coding RNA, 398 nt
Filed under: Cricetulus griseus (Chinese hamster)
Lineage: Eukaryota; Metazoa; Chordata; Mammalia; Rodentia; Cricetidae
Description: lncRNA (ENSCGRG00000024580.1)
Source: RNAcentral
AUGCACACUUCUAAUCCCAAGACCAGGGAGACAGAGGCAGAUGGAUCUCUGUUAAUUCAAGGCCACACUGAGCUACACGAAAUUGAUCCAGUCCUAAAGAGAAACAGCUCAUACAAAGGUGAUCUCAGCACUUUUGACCACAUGCCUUUAAUUCCAGCAUUAGGGAAGUGGACACAGAGUGUUAUGUUUGGACGGAGAAAGGAAUAUAAGGUGGGAGGAGACAAGGAGUGGGAGCAUUUUGCCUCUGGGGAUUCAUGGAGACAAGAUCAGCUAAUUUGGUCUGAGUUGUGCAGAAGCGUGACGCAUCUCUAAGUGACUGGUGGACUCCGUUAUUAAUUACUGCGAGUCUCAGAGGAAGAGAACGCAGAGGAUGACCGGCAGCGGCCUGCAGGCAGAGG